RNAcentral lists this ribosomal RNA (467 nucleotides) under uncultured bacterium. RNAcentral describes it as "partial 16S ribosomal RNA". It matches the Rfam family "Bacterial small subunit ribosomal RNA", at positions 28 to 506 of the family's 1533-position model. The record is from RNAcentral.
GACGAACGCUGGCGGCGUGCUUAACACAUGCAAGUCGAACGGAAAGGCCCUGCUUUUGUGGGGUGCUCGAGUGGCGAACGGGUGAGUAACACGUGAGUAACCUGCCCUUGUCUUUUGGAUAACUUCAGGAAACUGGGGCUAAUACCGGAUAGGAGCUCCUGCUGCAUGGUGGUGGUUGGAAAGUUUCGGCGGUUGGGGAUGGACUCGCGGCUUAUCAGCUUGUUGGUGGGGUAGUGGCUUACCAAGGCUUUGACGUGUAGCCGGCCUGAGAGGGUGACCGGCCACAUUGGGACUGAGAUACGGCCCAGACUCCUACGGGAGGCAGCAGUGGGGAAUAUUGCACAAUGGGCGGAAGCAUGAUGCAGCAACGCCGGGUGCGGGAUGACGGCCUUCGGGUUGUAAACCGCUUUCGCCUGUGACGAAGCGUGAGUGACGGUAAUGGGUAAAGAAGCACCGGCUACCUACGU